AUUGAACGCUGGCGGCAGGCCUAACACAUGCAAGUCGAGCGGUAGCACAGAGAGCUUGCUCUCGGGUGACGAGCGGCGGACGGGUGAGUAAUGUCUGGGAAACUGCCUGAUGGAGGGGGAUAACUACUGGAAACGGUAGCUAAUACCGCAUAAUGUCGCAAGACCAAAGUGGGGGACCUUCGGGCCUCAUGCCAUCAGAUGUGCCCAGAUGGGAUUAGCUAGUAGGUGGGGUAACGGCUCACCUAGGCGACGAUCCCUAGCUGGUCUGAGAGGAUGACCAGCCACACUGGAACUGAGACACGGUCCAGACUCCUACGGGAGGCAGCAGUGGGGAAUAUUGCACAAUGGGCGCAAGCCUGAUGCAGCCAUGCCGCGUGUAUGAAGAAGGCCUUCGGGUUGUAAAGUACUUUCAGCGGGGAGGAAGGCGAUAAGGUUAAUAACCUUGUCGAUUGACGUUACCCGCAGAAGAAGCACCGGCUAGCUCCGUGCCAGCAGCCGCAGUAA
RNAcentral lists this ribosomal RNA (504 nucleotides) under uncultured bacterium. Its description in RNAcentral is "partial 16S ribosomal RNA". It matches the Rfam family "Bacterial small subunit ribosomal RNA", at positions 30 to 523 of the family's 1533-position model. The record is from RNAcentral.